This is a long non-coding RNA of Mangifera indica (mango), 1855 nucleotides long. RefSeq lists it as uncharacterized. NCBI's taxonomy places the organism in Eukaryota, Viridiplantae, Streptophyta, Magnoliopsida, Sapindales, Anacardiaceae. The transcript is spliced from 3 exons. The record is from RefSeq and is a predicted model, not a curated record.
GUUUCCUUUAUUUCACUAAACAAAGCAUUUACCUUCUUCUUCGUUACGGGAAAAACAGAAGCAGAGGCGAGAAAGGAGAGAAAAGAGAGAAAGAAAAGGAGAGGAAGGGGGGAGAGAAGAAAAAGAAAAAGAAGGAAAAAGAAGAAGAAAAAGAAGAAGAAGAAGGAGAGAAGGAAGAAUUUAUAGGAAAAGAGAUAGGGUGAGGACGGAGGAAGAUUCAUCGGGAAUUCCCGCACUGACUUUCGGUCUGCAUAAAUCUAUUGUAUGGAAGUAGAGCUGAAGGAUAUUUAGCUCAAUCCUAUGGGGAAAUUAAAAUGGCUUAGGCUAAAGGACUAUUUCCCAUUCAAGUUUAAGUGUUACCCCCAAAGACACGCCCGUGAUGUUUGUUAAACCCAAAAUCUCACUUAUCCGUUAAAAAUUUUAGUUAAGAUUAAAGCUAAAACCAUCUUUUAAUAAAAAACUAAAGUUUUAUUACGGUUGACCCCCUUCAACUUGAAAAUCGUUAGAGGAAAUAACCUACAUCGGUGGUUAGGAAGUGAUCAACACAGAGAGUUGAGCCUGGAAGAAGAGCCAACACCACCGAAGACGGCCAUCUCUGACAACUCUGAUCAUGAUUUGCAAAUCCUAAGGGAGAAAUUUUAAUUUUUCAAAUUUCAGGAGGGGGAAUGAACAAAACCUUAUAUUUUUAAAAUUUUUUAUUAAAUAACUAUUUUGUCCUUAAUUAUAACUGUGAUUUUUAAAGGAUGAAUAAGAUUUUGGGUUUUUCAAACCUCAUUGGUGUAACUUUGGGAUAGCACUUAAACUUGGGGGUGAAAUAGUCCUUUGGCCUAUUUUAAUUUGAUGUUUUGUGCGGCUGUGGAGUUGAGUGUGAUUUAAAUUUAGUUUAUGGAUAAUUGAGGCUGUGAUUUAAGUAUAAGAAAAUCAUUCAUUUAAAAGCCUCCAAAGGCCAAAUGACUAUUUCCCACCCAAGGUAUAGUGUAAUUCAGAACUAAUAUUCGCUAACUUUUGAAAACUCAAACAGUCAACUAUGUGACAAAUUCUGUUAAAAUUUGCAUUUAUAAUUAAAGGCAAAAUCGUUAUUUCAAUAAUAAUAUUAAAAAAUAUAUAAAAUUCAUUAUAUUUUCUCCCUAAAUUUUAAAACUAAUAAAUUCACCCAUGCCAAAAUUUUUCAAACUUUGAAAAGUAACAUCCUCCCCCUGCCCCUAAAAUAAGUUUCUUCCCUCCCUCUUCGGUGACCAUCCAACGACUUACAAGUGUUUUCCUCUGUUCAGCUGGUCGUUCCUCACCAUCAAAAUGGUUGGCUGGCUGGCUGGCAUACGGAGGUGCGACGAAGAGAUUUCUGUCUCUUCGUCGCACUGUUGUGCAUUGGCCAACCAUUCCGAUGGUGAGGGAGGAAAAAAUCAAGAAGUCGCACUUUCAUGCGCCGGCUGAACGGAGAAAAAAGCAGAUUGAUUAUAGAUAGAUAAACUGUUGGGUGCUUUAGUUAGAGACCUUGUAAUUGAAAGAUUAAGAGAAAACGGAUCUCUUCUGGUACUAUAGUUCUUUGUAUAUUUUUAUUUUGAAUCAUUCACAAUCUAAAGAAGGUUUAUAAGAAAGAAAGAAAAUUUACUUCAAGGAAAACCUUCAACCUUCAAAUCAAACUUAGGAGAGUUAAAAUAUCAUGAAAAUUGCUUAAUUUUUAUUUAUCUCUGUUAAAUAAUUUAUAGGAAUAGCUUAAACAACUUUUCUUACAAAUAAGUCUGUACAAGUCAAAAACAACAAUAAAAGCAACAACCAUGUUGACUAAUUCAAACUAAACAAUCAAACAACUUGAUCUAAAUAGGCACUUGCUACAACAAAGUAGGAUUGACCAUUA